ACAGCAGUCGCCGCGGUAAUACGUAGGUGGCGAGCGUUGUCCGGAAUUAUUGGGCGUAAAGGGAGCGCAGGCGGGCGAGUAAGUCUUUCUUAAAAGUGCGGGGCUCAACCCCGUGAGGGGAGAGAAACUACUCACCUUGAGUGCAGGAGAGGAAAGCGGAAUUCCUAGUGUAGCGGUGAAAUGCGUAGAUAUUAGGAAGAACACCAGUGGCGAAGGCGGCUUUCUGGACUGUAAUUGACGCUGAGGCUCGAAAGCCAGGGGAGCGAACGGGAUUAGAUACCCCUGUAGUCCCUGUCUCUUAUACA
RNAcentral lists this ribosomal RNA (305 nucleotides) under uncultured bacterium. Its description in RNAcentral is "partial 16S ribosomal RNA". It matches the Rfam family "Bacterial small subunit ribosomal RNA", at positions 508 to 809 of the family's 1533-position model. The record is from RNAcentral.